GACGAACGCUGGCGGCGCGCCUAACACAUGCAAGUCGAACGAGAGAGAAGGAGCUUGCUUCUUCGAUCGAGUGGCGAACGGGUGAGUAACGCGUGAGGAACCUGCCUCAAAGAGGGGGACAACAGUUGGAAACGACUGCUAAUACCGCAUAAGCCCACGGGUCGGCAUCGACCAGAGGGAAAAGGAGCAAUCCGCUUUGAGAUGGCCUCGCGUCCGAUUAGCUGGUUGGUGAGGUAACGGCCCACCAAGGCGACGAUCGGUAGCCGGACUGAGAGGUUGAACGGCCACAUUGGGACUGAGACACGGCCCAGACUCCUACGGGAGGCAGCAGUGGGGAAUAUUGCACAAUGGGGGAAACCCUGAUGCAGCGACGCCGCGUGGAGGAAGAAGGUCUUCGGAUUGUAAACUCCUGUUGUUGAGGAAGAUAAUGACGGUACUCAACAAGGAAGUGACGGCUAACUACGUGCCAGCAGCCGCGGUAAAACGUAGGUCACAAGCGUUGUCCGGAAUUACUGGGUGUAAAGGGAGCGCAGGCGGGAAGACAAGUUGGAAGUGAAAUCCAUGGGCUCAACCCAUGAACUGCUUUCAAAACUGUUUUUCUUGAGUAGUGCAGAGGUAGGCGGAAUUCCCGGUGUAGCGGUGG
Molecule: ribosomal RNA, 643 nt
Filed under: uncultured Faecalibacterium sp.
Lineage: Bacteria; Bacillati; Bacillota; Clostridia; Eubacteriales; Oscillospiraceae
Description: bacterial SSU rRNA
Rfam family: Bacterial small subunit ribosomal RNA
Source: RNAcentral